CAAAAUGAAAUACAAUCAUGGAAUACACAAAUCGUUAAGUUCCAAAUCUUCAUAGACAAAUUUUAAAUAGAAGGAAAUUAAAAUCUCAAACACGGAAAAACUAAAAAUAAAGAACGGUUUCUUACUAAAAUAGAUACAUAAGCAAAAAAUAAAAAUAAAAUAAAAAAACAUGUACUUAGAACGACUUAACACUAAUAUGAUAAAAAUGAAAUAGAAAAUAUGUUUAAGGCGAUGUUCGUUUCACCAACCAUAUAAGUCGUCUGAACGGAGAUAAGAUUGUUGUUUGUUUAGAUUUCAAAUUACAAAUCAUCUUAAU
RNAcentral lists this long non-coding RNA (316 nucleotides) under Brassica napus (rape). RNAcentral describes it as "long non-coding RNA (BNAP_LNC025189)". Lineage: Eukaryota; Viridiplantae; Streptophyta; Magnoliopsida; Brassicales; Brassicaceae. The record is from RNAcentral.